ACCAGCUCAAUUAUCCGUGAAAUAUUCUCCCACACGCGUCCUCUGAUGACGCAUUAUGGCGAGGAUGACUCUCCCGUUGUUCUUUUCAGCAGAGCGUGAAGACCCGGAGAUGCUGCGAGGGGGAACACUAUAAAGGUGCCUCUCUCUCUUAUUUUUCGCUUGUUUUUCCUUUAAUUAUCCUGCUAAUUGGGAAUUGCUUGUUGUUGUUGUUGUUUUUUUCUCUUUUCUUCAGAUUUGGUGGAGAGGCUGUAGUCGGGGUUGUCAUGACAACGGCAGGGACACCUUUGAUUGGUGGGAAGUUUGAUUUUCAGGGUAAAGACCGGUCGUAUUGUUUGAUUUAUAGGAGUUCAGGUUCUGAGCGAUGAAAACAUACGUCGAGUUUCUGUGUGAAAGUGUGAACGGCGUCCGCAGAUAUUUGAAGAGAUCCAGCUUUUUUAAAAUUCAG
RNAcentral lists this long non-coding RNA (445 nucleotides) under Xyrichtys novacula (pearly razorfish). The record is from RNAcentral. Lineage: Eukaryota; Metazoa; Chordata; Actinopteri; Labriformes; Labridae.